GAAACAGUGGCUGAAUUGGAGGCAAUAAAUUGUAAAUUUAUUAAUGGGGGCACCCCUGUUUCA
RNAcentral lists this transfer RNA (63 nucleotides) under Curculionoidea sp. 24 KM-2017. RNAcentral describes it as "tRNA-Tyr". It matches the Rfam family "tRNA". Rfam says of the family: Transfer RNA (tRNA) molecules are approximately 80 nucleotides in length. Their secondary structure includes four short double-helical elements and three loops (D, anti-codon, and T loops). Lineage: Eukaryota; Metazoa; Arthropoda; Insecta; Coleoptera. The record is from RNAcentral.